Molecule: ribosomal RNA, 1427 nt
Filed under: metagenome
Description: bacterial SSU rRNA
Rfam family: Archaeal small subunit ribosomal RNA
Source: RNAcentral
ACCCGUUGAUCCUGCGGGAGGUUGCUGCUAUCGGGAUUCGAUUAAGCCAUGCAAGUCAGGUAGUAAUACCGGCGACAAGCUCAGUAACACGUCAAUAAUCUGCCCUUAGGUCAUGGAUAACCUUGGGAAACUGAGGGUAAACCAUGAUAGGAGAGAUGCUCUGGAACAUAGUUCUCUUUAAAUCUCGAGCCUAAGGAUGAGUUGGCGGCCGAUUAGGCUGUUGGCGGUGUAACGGACCACCAAACCUAUGAUCGGUAGGGGCCUUGAAAGAGGGAGCCCCGAGAAGGACACUGAAAUACUGGUCCUAGCCCUACGGGGUGCAGCAGGCGCGAAAAUUUUACAAUGCACGCAAGUGUGAUAAGGGGAUCCCGAGUGCUUGCACACUGUGCAGGCUUUUUUCUAGGGCAAGUACCUAGGAGAAUAAGUGGUGGGUAAGACUGGUGCCAUCCGCCGCGGUAACACCAGCGCCACGAGUGGCAACCGCGUAUUUGGCCUAAAGCGUCCGUAGCUGGCAUAAUAAAUCCUUUGUGAAAUUGUUGGGCCUAACCCAACAUCGUGCAGAGGACACUGUUAUGCUUGAGACCGGGAGGGGUUAGAGGUAUUUCUGGGGGAGCGGUAAAAUGCUAUAAUCCCAGGAAGACCACCUGUGGCGAAGGCGUCUAACCAGAACGGAUCUGACAGUGAGGGACGAAAGCCAGGGGAGCAAACCGGAUUAGAUACCCGAGUAGUCCUGGCCGUAAACGCUGCGAGCUAGGUGUUGCCUAUUCUACAUGAAUGGGCAGUGUCGAAAUGAAGAUGUUAAGCUCGCCGCCUGGGAAGUACAGUCGCAAGGCCGAAACUUAAAGGAAUUGGCGGGGGAGCACUACAAGGGGUGCGGCGUGCGGUUUAAUCUAACUCAACGCAGAGCAUCUUACUAGUAGCGACGGCAGAAUGAAGGUCAAUCUGAAGGGUUUACCUGACGAGCCGAGAGGUAGUGCAUGGCCGCCGUCAGCUCGUGCCGUGAGGUGUCCUCUUAAGUGAGGCAACGAGCGAGACCUGCGCCUGCAAUUGCUAACGGUUCCUACGGGAAGACUGAGCACAUUGCAGGGACCGCUCCGGAAACGGAGAGGAAGGUGCAGCUACGGUAGGUCUGUAUGCUCCGAAUCCACUAGGCUACACGCGCGCAACAAUGGUAGACACAAUGGGAUGCGACCCUGAAAAGGGAAGCUAAUCCUCUAAAAUCUAUCUUAGUCCAAAUUGAGGGUUGUAACUCACCUCAUGACGUCGGAAUCCCUAGUAAUCAGAGUUCAUCAUACUCUGGUGAAUACGUCCCUGCUCCUUGCACACACCGCCCGUUAAACCAACCGAGCAGGGUUUAGAUGAGACUCAACUUUCAUUGGUUGUUUCGAAUCUAAGCUCAGUGAGGUGGGUUAAGUCGUCACAAGGUC